AGCAGCCGCGGUAAUUCCAGCUCCAAUAGCGUAUAUUAAAGUUGUUGCAGUUAAAAAGCUCGUAGUUGAAUUUCGGGAUUGACACAUCGGUCGUGCCUUAAGGGGUAUGAACUGGUGUAGUCAAUUUCUCACCUUCUGGAGAACCGCGAUGCCCUUAAUUGGGUGUCGCGGGGAACCAGGACCUUUACUUUGAAAAAAUUAGAGUGUUUAAAGCAGGCAUUUUGCUUGAAUACAUUAGCAUGGAAUAAUAAAAUAGGACGGCAUGAUUCUAUUUUGUUGGUUUCUAGGAUCACCGUAAUGAUUAAUAGGGAUAGUUGGGGGCAUUAGUAUUCAAUUGUCAGAGGUGAAAUUCUUGGAUUUAUUGAAGACUAACUACUGCGAAAGCAUUUGCCAAGGAUGUUUUCAUUAAUCAAGAACGAAA
This 421-nucleotide ribosomal RNA is filed under the name uncultured Entrophospora. RNAcentral describes it as "SSU rRNA". It matches the Rfam family "Eukaryotic small subunit ribosomal RNA", at positions 569 to 988 of the family's 1831-position model. Lineage: Eukaryota; Fungi; Glomeromycota; Glomeromycetes; Entrophosporales; Entrophosporaceae. The record is from RNAcentral.